Molecule: ribosomal RNA, 512 nt
Filed under: uncultured bacterium
Lineage: Bacteria
Description: partial 16S ribosomal RNA
Rfam family: Bacterial small subunit ribosomal RNA
Source: RNAcentral
UGGGGAAUAUUGCACAAUGGGCGAAAGCCUGAUGCAGCAACGCCGCGUGAGUGAUGAAGGUCUUCGGAUUGUAAAGCUCUGUCUUUUGGGACGAUAAUGACGGUACCAAAGGAGGAAGCCACGGCUAACUACGUGCCAGCAGCCGCGGUAAUACGUAGGUGGCGAGCGUUGUCCGGAUUUACUGGGCGUAAAGGGUGCGUAGGCGGAUGUUUAAGUGAGAUGUGAAAUACCCGGGCUUAACUUGGGUGCUGCAUUUCAAACUGGAUAUCUAGAGUGCAGGAGAGGAGAAUGGAAUUCCUAGUGUAGCGGUGAAAUGCGUAGAGAUUAGGAAGAACACCAGUGGCGAAGGCGAUUCUCUGGACUGUAACUGACGCUGAGGCACGAAAGCGUGGGUAGCAAACAGGAUUAGAUACCCUGGUAGUCCACGCCGUAAACGAUGAGUACUAGGUGUAGGAGGUAUCGACCCCUUCUGUGCCGCAGUAAACACAUUAAGUACUCCGCCUGGGAAGUAC